UAAAUUUUAAUUUGGGUUACAUAAAAGAUUGUUCUUAAAGUGGCACAUAUUGACAUUGUUCUCACACCUAUUAACUUGCAGCUGGAGAGUGAAAAGGCCAAGAGACCAUGCUUGCAGUGCAUCUAAAGCAUGAAUGGAUCAGAGAAGUCCAGAAAUUUCCUUCCUAGGUAUUUCUGCUGACAACAGCUAGCCUGGGGAAACUGUGCUCUGUCCUUAAGAAUCAGUAGGGAGAUCUGGUACUCCACUUGAUGGGUUUUGAAAGGAACAUUUGUUAAAUGAUUUGAGUAAACAAGGUGCCAAUAUUCAAGAGUUAGAUGAGAUCUUCUCAGAAAAGAGAGUGAGUUCAGUUUCUUCCCAGUGCUGAUGCCUCUUUGCCCUUCAAUGCUUUUUGUCUUCCUGCUAUUCCUUUGAUUCAAGAAUGUAUUCCCAUCACUAUGCAGAGCCUGAGAGAUGUGUUUUCUGGCCUUUCUUGUUCCUUGGGAAGAAUGUGACACACUGCAGUGUUGUCUUCCUGAUCCUGUAGCUGGCCUGAAAAACCGGUAGCAGAAAAGAGUGCACAUGCUUAACGUUGAAUUUUACUGAUAACAACCAAGUGAUGUUACUUCUGGCAAGCUACAAAUAUUUGCCUUUCCUACUGUGAGAACCAUUCCUUAUGGAAACUGGCUAAGAUGUGAAACUUCUUGCCUUGAGCUGGAAUUGUAUUUAACCAGAAGUAUUUUAAACCAUUUUUCUCCUCCGCUUCUAACUCAUGACCCAACUCAUGAUUACUAAAUAAAAAUGCAUGAGAAUUAC
Long non-coding RNA from Pezoporus occidentalis (night parrot), 792 nucleotides. RefSeq lists it as uncharacterized. The record is from RefSeq and is a predicted model, not a curated record. Lineage: Eukaryota; Metazoa; Chordata; Aves; Psittaciformes; Psittacidae. The transcript is spliced from 4 exons.